GUGAAUCAUCGAAUUUUUGAACGCAAAUUGCACUCUCUGGUAUUCCGGGGAGUAUGCCUGUUUGAGGGUCAGUAUAAAUAAAAAUCGGUAUGGUUGCUGCCUUUCGUGGUGACGCACCGGAUUUGGGUCGUCUUGCCUUCGGUUAAGUGACCUAAAAUUUUGCAUGCUUUUUUUGAUACGUAUUUUAAUGGUUUUACUUAAAUUUGCG
Molecule: unclassified non-coding RNA, 208 nt
Filed under: Glomerales sp.
Lineage: Eukaryota; Fungi; Glomeromycota; Glomeromycetes; Glomerales; Glomeraceae
Description: partial contains 5.8S ribosomal RNA and internal transcribed spacer 2
Rfam family: 5.8S ribosomal RNA (bases 1-71)
Source: RNAcentral